This is a long non-coding RNA of Passer domesticus (house sparrow), 1831 nucleotides long. RefSeq lists it as uncharacterized. The record is from RefSeq and is a predicted model, not a curated record. Lineage: Eukaryota; Metazoa; Chordata; Aves; Passeriformes; Passeridae. The transcript has 3 exons.
GAGUUGUUAUGGCAUCAGGACAUGCAAAUGCUGUUUCCAUGUGAAUUAACAGCUGAACUGACUCAAGUUCUUGCUGGCCCCACUGUGCUCCCAGGCUCAGCCAGGGAUGCACUGAGCCCUAUGUCCUGGGACAUCCCAAGGGAUGGAUGCUGUUCCUGGGCUCAGAAGUUGGGGAGCAGCAGUCCUGGUGCUUUUGUGGUAGGCUGCUGUUGUGUUUGAUGAGGAGUGAGCAGUGGUGCACAGCCAUCAUUACCUGAGAGCUCACUGUGGAGUUCCUGAUGUGGGCAGCAUCCUUGCACAAGUGCUGUUGGCAGAGCCAUCCCUGUGCUCGGGGCUGCCUAGAGCCCGGGGAGAAGCCAUUAAUUGGGAUGGUCCUGUAAUUGAGCAUGGAUCAGCACCAUAUCCCUGGCAGUCAAAUGGGCAGCUUGAGUCCAGCAACAAGUUCAGAAUGCAGAUGUGGGCUGGAAGCCACUCACCAUCAAAUUGCCACAACUUUACCAAAGACAAGCAAAGAGCUGGAGUCAAGAAUAGCCUGGAACAGGGAUCCUUCUCAUGGCUGCUGCUGAGCUGGCUCUUAAGAAAUGCGUCACCAAGCUCUGGACACUGCUGCAGCUAUCAAUGCUGGUAAAUAGCUGAAGCCCUUUAAUUCUGUCCAGCUUAGGGGAGUUAAAAAUUCCAUCACAUCACACCACAGCUUCCUCUUGGUGCUGCACAGGCACUCCAUAAAUCCACACAGCUCUCUCCCUCUUAUCUGAAUCGCAAUGCAGUUAUUAAACAAAUUGUAAGUCUAUUUCAUAUCCUUUUUACUACUUUGAAAACUGCACAAUAUAAAGCUUAAUAAAAGCUGAAUGCUCCAAAACUGCUCUUAGAACUGAAAAUAUGACUACAUCAAAAGACUUUACAAGGGCAGGAUUUUAAUAGCUGAAUAAUAUGCUGGAACAGAGCAGUAAUUUCUUCUCGAAUGCUGGGAUGAAUUAUUUAUGCUUUGACAAUAUUAUGUGUCUCUAAAGCAGCUUUUAGUUAUUCGCCUAUUGGAGGACACAGCUGAUCCUGCUGCCCACUCUUGUAAUUACAUUAACCUCUUGACACUACAUGACAAGCUUUUCCUGUGAACUACGAUCAAUAGCCCAUAACUGCUACCUAUUUAAUAGGGCCAUAGUUACACUUCAGUUCAGAUAUAAUUAGCUCUUUUCCCCCUUCCUCUUUUAACAGAGUGUGGAAAAAGCCCAUGUUGUUUAAAUUAAAAAAAAAAAAUGCACACAACAAAAUAAAAGCUGUUAAGAAGAAGAAUAAAAGCAUUCAAAUAACUGAAUAGGCAAUAAUAUGUUCCCUGAGUUUGGUUCAGAAAUGUGCAGCCCUUCCAUUAGUUCACAUCUGCAUUUAAAAGGAAGGGGAAGCCAUAGCCCAGGAGGACUUUUAGGAAUUAUUUACAGAAAUGUUGGUACAGGUGGGCAGGGCUGUGACAGAUACAGCUGAAGCUGAUAAUGAGAUAAAGGAGCUUCGUGUCCUCUCUGUUUCACCUGGCUUUCACAUGUCAUUGCAUGCCAUUGGAGCUGCCUUGUCUCAGGGAUGCAUUUAGAUUCAGAUAAAUACUUACAGGGCUUGAAAUGAAAGUGUUUGUCUAAUUGUGUUAACACUUUCAAACAAGUAAUGCCUUCUUGAAGCUAAUCUUUUUGCUGUUAUGGACAAUUUGAACAGACUGAAGGAUACAAUGUGGAAGAGAUUGAUCUUCAUCUUGAUGUAAUAGAGAUUACCUGUCAUGGGGCCUUUAAAACUCCUUUUCCUUCCUUGAUCUGUAGGUAGGUGGCCAUGCUCAUGCCAUUGGCCCAGA